UUAUCGAGGGGGCUUGCCCCCGUCAAGAUACCACCCUUUGCCUUUGAGUACCUUCUGUUUCCUCGGCAGGCUCGCCUGCCAAUGGGGACCACAACCAAACCUUUUUGUAUCUGUAGUAAACGUUUUACAAAAUAAAAAAUCAAAACUUUCAACAACGGAUCUCUUGGUUCUGGCAUCGAUGAAGAACGCAGCGAAAUGCGAUAAGUAGUGUGAAUUGCAGAAUUCAGUGAAUCAUCGAAUCUUUGAACGCACAUUGCGCCCUUUGGUAUUCCUUAGGGCAUGCCUGUUCGAGCGUCAUCUAACCCUUCAAGCACUGCUUGGUGUUGGGCGUUUGUCCCGCCUUGGGCGCGGACUCGCCUCAAAGACAUUGGCGGCCUGUGUAUUGGCUUCGAGCGCAGCAGACUCGCGCGUCGACUCCUCUAGCACUAGGCGUCCAGCAAGCCUAUUAUCUCAAGUUUGACCUCGGAUCAGGUAGGGAUACCCGCUGAACUUAAGCAUAUCAAUAAGCGGAGGAAAAGAAACCAACAGGGAUUGCCCUAGUAACGGCGAGUGAAGCGG
Molecule: unclassified non-coding RNA, 558 nt
Filed under: Hermatomyces sphaericus
Lineage: Eukaryota; Fungi; Ascomycota; Dothideomycetes; Pleosporales; Hermatomycetaceae
Description: sequence contains ITS1, 5.8S rRNA gene, ITS2
Rfam family: 5.8S ribosomal RNA (bases 144-297)
Source: RNAcentral